Molecule: ribosomal RNA, 516 nt
Filed under: uncultured microorganism
Description: bacterial SSU rRNA
Rfam family: Bacterial small subunit ribosomal RNA
Source: RNAcentral
UGGUGAGGUAAAGGCUCACCAAGGCGACGAUCCGUAGCUGGUCUGAGAGGAUGAUCAGCCACACUGGGACUGAGACACGGCCCAGACUCCUACGGGAGGCAGCAGUGGGGAAUAUUGGACAAUGGGCGAAAGCCUGAUCCAGCAAUGCCGCGUGAGUGAAGAAGGCCUUAGGGUUGUAAAGCUCUUUUACCCGGGAUGAUAAUGACAGUACCGGGAGAAUAAGCUCCGGCUAACUCCGUGCCAGCAGCCGCGGUAAUACGGAGGGAGCUAGCGUUGUUCGGAAUCACUGGGCGUAAAGCGCACGUAGGCGGCUUUGUAAGUUAGAGGUGAAAGCCCGGGGCUCAACUCCGGAACUGCCUUUAAGACUGCAUCGCUUGAAUCUGGGAGAGGUGAGUGGAAUUCCGAGCGUAGAGGUGAAAUUCGUAGAUAUUCGGAAGAACACCAGUGGCGAAGGCGGCUCACUGGACCAGAAUUGACGCUGAGGUGCGAAAGCGGGGGGAGCAAACAGGAUUAGAU